CUCCCGUCCGCCCCGACCGACUGACGGACUGCUCCUCUCUCUCUCUCUCUCUCUCUCUCUCUCUCUCUCUCUCUCUCUCUCUCUCACCUUGCCUCGCCAGUCCACUACCAACCACGCUGACAACUCCCCUUCUCCUGCCGCCACCACCUUCCAAUUCCAUCUCCAAAUCCCCUCCCUUCCUUCCCCAUACAUUCCCUCCCCACACUGCAAUUGCUUCGUCCUCUUCCUCCUCCCGCUGCUGCGCUGGAUCCCAGGUGCUUGAUGAUCACAAGAUGUCAUCAAAUUCCACGCUCACAGAAUCACUUCAUGAGAAAACAAUCGUCUUUGGGCUUAAACUUUGGGUUGUGAUUGGGAUCGCUGUUGGAGCAUCCCUCCUGGGUAUUCUUCUUAUCCUUGUGAUAUGCCUAACCAUCCAAACCUGGAUCAGACGGUCACGAAAGGCAUUCAAGGAGCUUCCCAUGACCCAGAUACCUUCUGCAUUCAAGGACAUCACAGAAGUCAGGGUGGCUGACCAAUUUUCACCCAAUGAUUAUGUUGUACAUGAUGGGCUUCUACUCGCCAUUGAGAAUGGGCCUGUUGAAUCAAUGGAUAAAGAUGCAGUUCAAUUGGUGCAGGAGGACAAUUCGAGGCAUAGAGAAGAGAACAAUCUUUCAGGUUCUUUAGUUCACACUGAUGGCUGUGAUGGAAUUCAAUCUGUUUCUGUCUGUGAACAGCCUUCCGUACAUGCUACUGCCGAUUCUGCGCCAUUGGACGGCCUACCUGAGUUUUCUUACCUUGGUUGGGGCCAUUGGUUCACUCUCAGAGAUCUAGAUGUUGCAACCGACCAUUUUGCAAAGGACAACGUAAUUGGUGAGGGUGGAUAUGGUGUUGUGUACCGUGGCAGAUUAUCAAAUGGCACCCCAGUCGCUGUCAAGAAAAUCCUUAACAAUUUAGGGCAGGCCGAGCGGGAAUUCAGAGUGGAAGUUGAGGCAAUUGGUAAUGUUCGCCACAAGAAUUUGGUCCGGCUUUUGGGAUAUUGUGUUGAGGGUACCCAGAGGAUGCUUGUAUACGAGUUUGUUAACAACGGGAAUCUUGAAAGUUGGCUCCACGGAGAAUUGUCCCAGUACAGCUCUCUCACUUGGUUAGCUCGCAUGAAAGUUCUUCUGGGGACUGCAAAGGCCCUUGCAUACUUACAUGAGGCACUUGAACCAAAGGUUGUGCAUCGUGACAUCAAGGCCAGCAAUAUCUUGAUCGACGAUGAGUUUAAUGCCAAAAUAUCUGACUUUGGUUUGGCCAAGAUGCUUGGUGCUGGUAAAAGUCAUAUUGCUACUCGAGUUAUGGGUACCUUUGGCUAUGUUGCGCCUGAGUAUGCUAACAGUGGGCUUUUGAAUGAGAAGAGUGAUGUCUACAGCUUUGGGGUUCUUUUAUUGGAAGUUAUUACAGGUAGAGAUCCAAUUGACUAUGAUCGCCCCCCAAGUGAGGUAAACCUAGUCGAUUGGCUUAAAUUGAUGGUCGCCAACAGACGGUCUGACGAAGUGGUGGAUCCACACCUUGAGAGAAGACCAUCGACAAAGGAACUCAAACGUGCCCUUUUGACAGCUCUGCGGUGUAUCGAUCUGAAUGCUGAAAAGAGACCAAGGAUGGAUCAGGUCGUCCGGAUGUUGGAUUCUAGCGAAACCAUACCUCAAGAGGAACGAAGACCACGACAGAACCGGAUCUCUGAGAAUACUGAAACCGUGCCAUUGAGGGGCAAGAACAGCAUCGAGAAGAGUGAUGCCCCUGAGCAUGAGGAGAGGCCCCCUCGGCCAAAGAGUCGUCCAUUUUCGUCCAAAUGAGGUAAAGAAAGAAGGAAACCCUAAACAUCUUUUGGAGAUAUAAAGAUAGAGAGAGAUACCAGCGCGCGGAAGAACAUGGUGGAGAAUUCUUCUGAAUACGUAACAGAUUGAUCGAUUUUUAUUUUUCACCCCUCGGAGCGGGGAUUUUUGCAUUUGUUGAUACAUGGAAUGGAAUGUACAGUGGUGUGUAUGACGGCUCAAGGAUGUACAGAACUAGCUUGUAAAACGGUCUGAAAGGCUCUCAGCUGGUGUGGUUGCUGCGCGUUCGCCUCCGCAUUGCCUGCCAACUCCACCUCCAUGGCGCUAGCCGGCGCCGCCAACGCCACCUUCCGGCCCCGCCUGGUCACCGCCGCCGCUGACACCUCCGACACUAAUACUCGCCGCCGACACUGGAAGGCCGGCGAGUUCCCAUUCCCCACCACCUCCCCCUCCUCCGGCACGCAGCAGCGCCGGAGACCCCGGACCACGGAGCGCCCGCCCCCACCUCCACCGUCCAAGGGGGAAGACCCGGAGGGGAGAGGGCGCCAGAGGCACUGGAAGGCGGGGGAGGACCCGGAGGGGGGAGGGCGCCAGAGGCACUGGAGGGCGGGGGAGUUCCCGGCGGCGGCCGAGUCCCAAUCCCAGUCCGGGAGGAGGGGCCGCGCUCGCACCCCUAUCAAGAACGUCCAGAAGAGGCUCGACGCGCGCGCCGAUGCCAAGGCCUGGGCCUGCACAGUCACCGAGGCCCUCGCCGACCGCAUCGCCGCCAAGAACUGGCGGGAGGCGCUUCAGGUCUUCGAGAUGCUCAAGGAGCAAACUUUCUACUAUCCCAAAGAGGGCACCUACAUGAAACUCCUCCUGUUGCUGGGGAGAUCAGGCCAGCCUUCUCUAGCACAAGACCUUUUCACCGAGAUGCAGCAGCAAGGAUGCCAGCCAACUCCCGAGCUUUACACGGCCUUGAUCGGGGCCUACUGCCGGAACGGCCUCCUAGACGAGGCACUCAAGCUUCUCGAAGACAUGAAGGCCGCCCCGCUGUGCCAGCCUGAUGUCUACACUUAUAGCAUCCUCAUCAAGGCCUUCGUCGACGCCUCAAGGUUCGACCUCGUCGAUGCUAUGUACAAAGAGAUGGCUGAGCGCUCCGUGACACCCAACACGGUCACGCAGAACAUUGUUCUCAGUGGCUACUGCAGAGCAGGAAGGCUGGACGAUAUGGAGAAGCUACUCUCUGCGAUGCUCGAAAGUGCAAAUUGUAAACCGGAUGUCUGGACCAUGAACAUUAUCCUAAGCCUGUUUGGGAACAGUGGCCAGGUUGAGCUGAUGGAGAAGUGGUACGAGAAAUUCCGAGGCUAUGGGAUCGAGCCAGAGACUCGGACGUUCAACAUUCUCAUUGGUGCUUACGGGAAGAAGCGGAUGUAUGACAAGAUGUCUGCGGUGAUGGAAUACAUGCGCAGGCUAGCAUUUCCAUGGACGACUGCUACAUACAACAAUGUGAUCGAGGCAUUUGCUGUGGCAGGUGAUGCCAAAAACAUGGAGGACACAUUUAACCAGAUGCGCUCAGAGGGGAUGAAGCCAGAUACAAAGACCUUCUGUUGUCUAAUAAACGGGUUCAGCAAUGCAGCCCUUUUCCACAAGGUGGUAGGCAUGGUAAAGCUUGCUGAGAGGCUCGAUGUACCGGCGAAUACGUCUUUCCACAACUCUGUUCUUGCGGCAUGUGCGAAAGCGGAGGAUCUGAUGGAAAUGGAGAGGGUCUUCAGGCACAUGAAGCAUAUGCAGUGUGAAGCAGAUGCCAUCACAUACUCCAUCUUGUUGGAAGCUUAUCGGAAGGAAGGAAUGACCGACAAGAUGUAUGCUCUGCAACAGGAGAACCCAAGUUUGGUUUCGACUGAGCUUGUCAUGGUGUAACUAACCUCAUAAAUUGAUUAUGGUGUUGAGUUCAUCUGACUGAAAUGAAAAAUCCGUUCCUCUUCAUGUCUGGAAUUAAUAGUGCAACCUAGCAAAUUAACUACUGCCAGAAUUGUUUUAUUUCUGUUGACCUACAAGAUUAGUAUGUAUGAUAACUGUAUUGCUGUAAGGACAGAGAAGCUUCAUUAUAUCAACUCUCAAGUGAUAUGCCACUAUUUAGUACCUCCUUUGUUCCAAAUAAGUGACGUGCUUUAGUUCAAAUUGUUUGAACUAAAUCAUGACAGUUAUUAUGGAAUGGAGGGAGUAUACAUUUUGAUCCUAG
RNAcentral lists this ribosomal RNA (4017 nucleotides) under Triticum aestivum (bread wheat). RNAcentral describes it as "partial small subunit ribosomal RNA". Lineage: Eukaryota; Viridiplantae; Streptophyta; Magnoliopsida; Poales; Poaceae. The record is from RNAcentral.